GGAGGUGUGGCUCAGUGGUAGAGUAUGUGCUUCACAUGUGCAAGGUCCUGGAUUCAACCCCCAGCACCCCCA
This 72-nucleotide transfer RNA is filed under the name Fukomys damarensis (Damara mole-rat). It matches the Rfam family "tRNA". Rfam says of the family: Transfer RNA (tRNA) molecules are approximately 80 nucleotides in length. Their secondary structure includes four short double-helical elements and three loops (D, anti-codon, and T loops). Lineage: Eukaryota; Metazoa; Chordata; Mammalia; Rodentia; Bathyergidae. The record is from Rfam by way of RNAcentral.